This 416-nucleotide ribosomal RNA is filed under the name uncultured Acidobacteriota bacterium. RNAcentral's name for it is "bacterial SSU rRNA". It matches the Rfam family "Bacterial small subunit ribosomal RNA", at positions 355 to 776 of the family's 1533-position model. The record is from RNAcentral. Lineage: Bacteria; Pseudomonadati; Acidobacteriota.
UGGGGAAUUUUGCGCAAUGGGCGCAAGCCUGACGCAGCAACGCCGCGUGGAGGAUGAAGGUCUUCGGAUCGUAAACUCCUGUCAGGGGGGACGAAUACCUUAACCGGUUUGACUGUACCCCCUGAGGAAGCCACGGCUAACUCCGUGCCAGCAGCCGCGGUAAUACGGAGGUGGCAAGCGUUGUUCGGAAUUACUGGGCGUAAAGGGCGCGUAGGCGGCUUGGCAAGUCAGAUGUGAAAGCCCCGGGCUUAACUCGGGAAUUGCAUCUGAAACUGCUUUGCUUGAGUCCUGGAGGGGGUAGUGGAAUUCCCAGUGUAGCGGUGAAAUGCGUAGAUAUUGGGAGGAACACCUGCGGCGAAGGCGGCUACCUGGACAGUGACUGACGCUGAUGCGCGAAAGCUAGGGGAGCAAACGGG